This 961-nucleotide long non-coding RNA is filed under the name Manihot esculenta (cassava). RNAcentral's name for it is "long non-coding RNA (MESC_LNC000667)". The record is from RNAcentral. Lineage: Eukaryota; Viridiplantae; Streptophyta; Magnoliopsida; Malpighiales; Euphorbiaceae.
GAAAAAUAAUAAUUUUUUUUUUUUUACAAAAAUAUAUUGUAUUUUUACAAGGUCUAACUAAAUUAGUACACUUACAAGCAAAAUAAAAUUGGUCUAACUAAAUUAGUACAGAUACAAGCAAAAUAAAAUUAAGUUCAGUUAUUAAAAUAUAAAAAUUAAUUAGAAAAGUCCAGUCUAAAAAAACCUAGUUCAGCUAAAGAAAAAAAAAAAGUACACGCCAAAAGUAUCUCUCCAUCGACCAGAAACACUUUCUAUUGUGUUCAUGUACUGCACCAUCGCCUCCCACUAAAUUCGAUUGGAUUGUCGGUCAAGCCUUCAUUUACCUACUCUGUGAUCAGAAUAAAACUGUUACCGACACAAGACGAAGCAGCCACUGAGACAAAAGCUAGUGAAGAAAGAAAACUAGAAGUAACAAUCUAGCGCAGAAAAUCUAAACAUGCAUGAAGCGAAGGACUUCUCCAAAAAAGUUGUGUUCCUCGACAAUCAUGUCCACUGGAAAAACAGACUAGUUCAUGGCAAUUUCAAUCUCAUAUAACUAUGAAGUCCACCUUAGGGAAUUAAAACUGGAGCCCCAACACCGAUUAUCACCGGUAUGCAACUAUUCUGCAAACACAGACCCGAGAAAACUGAAAAAAUAAAAUCUGUUUAUUCAAAACCAAACAAAAACCUCUCAAACAAAAUCCCAAAAAAAUACAUAAGCAAAAUAAUCAUGUACGAGGCAAUCCCUGCCAAAAGGCAGAGGAGCCUCGUCGCACAGUCAUCCUCUGUUUGUACUCUGUUGUGAAACUGCCCUCUUUUGCCCUCUUUGCAACUCCCUUCUAUCUUACUAAAAGCGAAUUAAUUUUUAUUUUAUUUUAUUUCUCUAUUUCAAUAAAAAUAUUAUGUUAAAAAAAAGAAAGAAAGCGAGUGUAUUUAAAUUUAAAUUUAGUUCAUAAUUUUUCUUAAAUGCAAAAUUUAUCUU